Long non-coding RNA from Hibiscus syriacus, 323 nucleotides. RefSeq lists it as uncharacterized. Lineage: Eukaryota; Viridiplantae; Streptophyta; Magnoliopsida; Malvales; Malvaceae. The transcript is spliced from 3 exons. The record is from RefSeq and is a predicted model, not a curated record.
GUCAUGACAGAAGAAGCAAGAAGGCGUGCAGAGAUUGCCAGAUUGAUGGAAAUCCAUACACUGAAAGGCAAAGUGGAGUCGUUUGCCAAGUUGAGGGGUUUGGAUAUCGACGUGAACCCACAUUACACAGUAUGAUAUUCUCGAUGCCACCUCCAAUUCCAUGUGCUCAGUUCCUUCCUUUUUUGUCUUUUUUUUAUUUCUUGAAAUUGCUGUAUUCAGAUAUUACUUGCUCAUAAAAUGCAUUUCGAGCAGUGAUUUUCUGCCAAUUGAUUGCCAGCGAUUCUCCAUGUACCCUCAAUAAAGAGCCUUCAAUGCUAAAUAUC